Cyclopterus lumpus (lumpfish) is the source of this 434-nucleotide long non-coding RNA. RefSeq lists it as uncharacterized. NCBI's taxonomy places the organism in Eukaryota, Metazoa, Chordata, Actinopteri, Perciformes, Cyclopteridae. The record is from RefSeq and is a predicted model, not a curated record. The transcript has 3 exons.
GCCAAGCAAACACAGAGGAACAGGAAGUUCUGAGACGCACGCUUCCUGUGGUGCAUUUUUUAACCAAAAGGAUCAAAGGGGAACAAAAGGGAGCGGCAGGUUGUCGCCGCGAGGCGAGUAACUAAUUAAGAAGCACUUCAGUCUCAAAGUACUGUGAAGGGUGUUUCAACGAAUCAUCAAAAGAAGAUUGAAUCCAGCGCGGCUGCUUUGCUGCCGGAAACCCGUUGAUAACUUUCUGCAGAAACCGGCUUUUUUGUCAUCUCACACCCACUCGCUGUCCCGGUUUGUAUGAAUACGUCAAGUGUACAUGGAAAAAAGGUUUGCCAUCGUCAUGACAUUAUAUUGCUCCACUUUACAUUCAGAUGCCGUUUUAUUUUUUUUGGUAUAAAACUGUCCGUUUCCUCGCCAUCCCUGUGAAUCAACACUGUGCAGCA